CCUACGGUGUGCUGCAGUAGGGACUAUUGCUCAAUGGGGGAAACCCUGAAGCAGCAACGUCGCGUGGAGGAUGAAGGUUUUAGGAUUGUUAACUCCUUUUGUGCGAGACGCUAAUGACGGUAUCUCACCAAUAAGCACCGGCUAACUCCGUGCCAGCAGCCGCGGUCAUACGGCGGGUGCAGGCGUUACUCGGAAUCACUGGGCGUAAAGCGUGCGCAGGCGGGCUUGUAAGUCAGAUGUGAAAUCCUGUAGCUUAACUACAGAACUGCAUUUGAAACUAGGGGUCUAGAGUGUGGGAGAGGUAGGUGGAAUGCUUGGUGUAGGGGUAAAAUGCGUAGAUAUCAAGAGGAAUACUCAUUGCGAAGGCGACCUACUGGAACAUUACUGACGCUCAUGCACGAAAGCGUGGGGAGCAAACAGGAUUAGAUACCCGAGUAGUC
RNAcentral lists this ribosomal RNA (440 nucleotides) under uncultured bacterium. RNAcentral's name for it is "partial 16S ribosomal RNA". It matches the Rfam family "Bacterial small subunit ribosomal RNA", at positions 338 to 795 of the family's 1533-position model. The record is from RNAcentral.